CCCUUAGAUGUUCUGGGCAGCACGCGCGCUACAAUGGUCUUCGCAAACGGAUGCAUUCUCGAAGGAGAAUGCCAAUCUUGGAAUCUAUGCCUUGGUCGGGACAGUUGCUUGCAAUUUUUCGACUCGAACCAGGAAUUCCUUGUAAUCGUGAUUCAUCACAUCACGAUGAAUACGUCCCUGCCCUUUGUACACACCGCCCGUCGCUCCUACCGAUCGAAGAGUUAGGUGAAUUGUUUUGAUCGAUAAGAUUUGACUAUGGUCAACUCUCGUUGUGAAAUUCUGUGAAUCUGACUGUUUAGAGGAAGGAAAAGUCGUAACA
Molecule: ribosomal RNA, 319 nt
Filed under: uncultured eukaryote
Lineage: Eukaryota
Description: partial 18S ribosomal RNA
Rfam family: Eukaryotic small subunit ribosomal RNA
Source: RNAcentral